AGGCCCUGCUUUUGUGGGGUGCUCGAGUGGCGAACGGGUGAGUAACACGUGAGUAACCUGCCCUUGACUUUGGGAUAACUUCAGGAAACUGGGGCUAAUACCGGAUAGGAGCUCCUGCUGCAUGGUGGGGGUUGGAAAGUUUCGGCGGUUGGGGAUGGACUCGCGGCUUAUCAGCUUGUUGGUGGGGUAGUGGCUUACCAAGGCUUUGACGGGUAGCCGGCCUGAGAGGGUGACCGGCCACAUUGGGACUGAGAUACGGCCCAGACUCCUACGGGAGGCAGCAGUGGGGAAUAUUGCACAAUGGGCGGAAGCCUGAUGCAGCAACGCCGCGUGCGGGAUGACGGCCUUCGGGUUGUAAACCGCUUUCGCCUGUGACGAAGCGUGAGUGACGGUAAUGGGUAAAGAAGCACCGGCUAACUACGUGCCAGCAGCCGCGGUGAUACGUAGGGUGCGAGCGUUGUCCGGAUUUAUUGGGCGUAAAGGGCUCGUAGGUGGUUGAUCGCGUCGGAAGUGUAAUCUUGGGGCUUAACCCUGAGCGUGCUUUCGAUACGGGUUGACUUGAGGAAGGUAGGGGAGAAUGGAAUUCCUGGUGGAGCGGUGGAAUGCGCAGAUAUCAGGAGGAACACCAGUGGCGAAGGCGGUUCUCUGGGCCUUUCCUGACGCUGAGGAGCGAAAGCGUGGGGAGCG
This 687-nucleotide ribosomal RNA is filed under the name uncultured Propionibacterium sp. RNAcentral describes it as "bacterial SSU rRNA". It matches the Rfam family "Bacterial small subunit ribosomal RNA", at positions 70 to 770 of the family's 1533-position model. The record is from RNAcentral. Lineage: Bacteria; Bacillati; Actinomycetota; Actinomycetes; Propionibacteriales; Propionibacteriaceae.